ACAAAUCACCGCGCGCUGCUGCAGACCCUCCUGCCUCACCGCGGGGAAAGAGGGAGGAUGCGGGAAGGUCUGAGUCCCGCACCUGGAUCGCUCACACCUGGGAGCUGCCUCCUGGCUCCGGUCUCGUGCUUCCCGCUGCAGUGAUGGCACGGAUGGGGGCAGCGCAUCAGAAUCACCUGUAGGGCCUUUUCGAACUCCACAGCCCCUCCCCAAAUUCUAGCCCACUCGUCUAGAGGACGAAAAUCACUGAAUGUGCAGGAUGGGUGCACUGGUGGAGUUUUCGAAAGCCCCACAGGUGAUACUAGAUGCACGCACACACAGGAACACACAUCUUGUGACUCCGAGACUAAACAGGUCAACCCGACGUUCUCUCCCUGACCCUCCUCUCCUUCCGUAGCUACUAUUUGUCAAGGUCUCCGCGUUCGCUUCAGCUUCCCUUUACGACCCCUAGCUCGGGGGCUUUGUGGAGUCCCCCAAAGUCCUGGAACCCCGCGGGACGGUCAGACGCUUUGGCGGCCAGACGUUAGAAAAAGUGUCCCCGCUCUUUGCCGCCCUUGUGCACCCUGGAGCGCGAACUGAAUACCAAAGGUGACCAUGGGCUGUUUUCCUGCACAGCAAAUAGACCUCUUCUUACUUUUAAAAUGUAGAAAAGCACAGAAAAGGGGCUGGGAGUGAGGGGUUGUGCUUGAAAGAAAUUGUGAGGCUGUGGAUGGGGACAGAAGAAGUAGGAGGCUCGGCUCCUGGUCACAGUUUUGCCAAGAACAGGAGAGUAUUGUGCAUCGUAGGGGAUCAAUAAUAUUGGACUGAAUUUAAAGAAGACCUCCUUGUUGUCCCUGAGGUUCUACCACUGAGGGAAGGUUGAUCCCCACUUUCAAAUCUUCUAAAGAGCUACCAGUCGCUGAGCACAUACCGUGUGCCAGGCACUGUGGCGGGUUCCUAUGUUCACCCUCCUGAGAGCACCUUCAGCCUCGCUUUACCCUGGAGAUCUGAUCGCUCAAGAUCACCCAGGCACUAAGCAGUGGAGCUGGUAAGAGAAACCAGAACCCUCGGGCACUCUGCUGCUUGACACAUGACCUCAACUCUUCUUUGGACUGAAGCAAGGCAUAAAUAACGCGAUAAAUGCCUGGAUCAAGAAUAUGCAAAGUUCCCUUCCCUACCCUCAUUGUCCUUGGGACCUUAAGAAAUUACCACACCCCCCCGCCCCCACCGACUCCACCAUUAUCGCUGAAGUUUCUCAUUAAAUGGGUAGAAAAUUGUAUGACCUACUGCAUAGGCUAAUCAUGAGGGUUAGACUAGUUCAUGUCAGCGAAGGUACCCAACAGAGUACUCACAUGGUAAGUGCAAAUUAAAUGGCAGCUAAAGCUGAUUUCAGCUUUGGGGUCGGUGUUAACUCUUCUAACACGCUCUGCUGACAGUGACUGACUAUAGUGAUGGAGGCGGUUGUAGUAGGAGCAGCAUUAGCUAACAUUUGUAGAACACUGGGAAAUCUCCAAGGGCCAGAAAAUAACUCUCAUUUAAAUAAUCUCAUUUAAAUUCACAACAGCUCUCUUAACAGAUGUCAUUAUUCCUAUUUUUACAGAUUAAGAUAGAAAGGCAUAAAGAAAGAGGAUAAGUCACUGGUCCAAAGUCAUCUAGCCUUAUGCGAUAAAACAGGGGUCAAAUCCAGGGCUCGGGGUUUUAGUGAAGUUUCCACCUCCAGUAGACGCCAACACGUGAACCCCAAGGUUUGGUCAGAAUUUAUUCCCAUGAAUAGUCUUAUGAGCUAAAAAAGGAAAUAAAAAGGCACUUUCCAGGAAGCGCCAUGACUGCUGAAGAGGCAGACCCAACUGGCUCGCUGGCUUUGCUUCUGGGAGCUGACCCUGGGCUUUCGAGGACAGUGCUAGCAGCUGGGACAGAGGUGAAGGCAUUGUCACCAAGCCGUCAUCUCUCAAUGGCUCCCCAGCCCCAGCCUGUGCUUCUGUGGCCUCCUGGCCUGCCAGCCCCCAUUGCUGAGGCCAAGGGGAAGGAGAGAGAGACCUGGGUUAAAGGCUGGCAAGAGACAUAGUCAGAAGGGAGAAAAGUGGAGCAAAAAAACCUGCUGAGGGGGCCUGGCAGGGAGGCUGUCCGCUUGCUCAUCUGUAUGCUCCGGGGUGAGGCCUGCAGUGGAAGGCACUGCCUGGGCAGAGUCAUUUGGACAUGGGCAGUGAAUCAACCAAACCCCAUGGGCACCAGUUCUGGGCUUCUGGGGACUCAGAUCCCAUUCCCUGCUUGCCCUAUCCUCUGCCCCAGCAGUGGGAUGGGCCUCUGUGUGUGUGUGUGUGUGUGUGUGUGUGUGUGUGUGUGUGUGUGUGUGUGUGUGGUGUGUUCCCACAUUAAAGAGGCAGAAAAGAUGGAAGG
Delphinapterus leucas (beluga whale) is the source of this 2376-nucleotide long non-coding RNA. RefSeq lists it as uncharacterized. Lineage: Eukaryota; Metazoa; Chordata; Mammalia; Artiodactyla; Monodontidae. The record is from RefSeq and is a predicted model, not a curated record.